AAGGGUACUUUUUGGUUUUGUAUUGGAAUGAGUUAAGUAUAAACCCCUUUACAAGUAUCAAUUGGAGGGCAAGUCUGGUGCCAGCAGCCGCGGUAAUUCCAGCUCCAAUAGCGUAUAUUAAAGUUGUUGCAGUUAAAAAGCUCGUAGUUGGAUUUCUGUUAAUAAUUUAUAUAAAAUAUUUUGAUGAAUAUUUAUAUAAUAUUAACAUAAUUCAUAUUACUAUAUAUUUUAGUAUAUGAAAUUUUACUUUGAGAAAAUUAGAGUGCUUAAAGCAGGCAUAUGCCUUGAAUACUCCAGCAUGGAAUAAUAUUAAAGAUUUUUAUCUUUCUUAUUGGUUCUAAGAUAAGAAUAAUGAUUAAUAGGGACAGUUGGGGGCAUUUGUAUUUAACAGUCAGAGGUGAAAUUCUUAGAUUUGUUAAAGACAAACUAAUGCGAAAGCAUUUGCCAAGGAUGUUUUCAUUAAUCAAGAACGAAAGUUAGGGGAUCGAAGACGAUCAGAUACCGUCGUAGUCUUAACCAUAAACUAUGCCAACUAGAGAUUGGAGGUUGUUCUUUUACUUCCUUGAA
This 567-nucleotide ribosomal RNA is filed under the name Cryptosporidium parvum. RNAcentral's name for it is "SSU rRNA". It matches the Rfam family "Eukaryotic small subunit ribosomal RNA", at positions 486 to 1083 of the family's 1831-position model. The record is from RNAcentral. Lineage: Eukaryota; Apicomplexa; Conoidasida; Eucoccidiorida; Cryptosporidiidae.